Molecule: ribosomal RNA, 465 nt
Filed under: Vreelandella stevensii
Lineage: Bacteria; Pseudomonadati; Pseudomonadota; Gammaproteobacteria; Oceanospirillales; Halomonadaceae
Description: partial 16S ribosomal RNA
Rfam family: Bacterial small subunit ribosomal RNA
Source: RNAcentral
CCUACGGGGUGCAGCAGUGGGGAAUAUUGGACAAUGGGCGAAAGCCUGAUCCAGCCAUGCCGCGUGUGUGAAGAAGGCCUUCGGGUUGUAAAGCACUUUCAGUGGGGAAGAAAGCCUUGGGGCUAAUACCCUCGAGGAAGGACAUCACCCACAGAAGAAGCACCGGCUAACUCCGUGCCAGCAGCCGCGGUAAUACGGAGGGUGCGAGCGUUAAUCGGAAUUACUGGGCGUAAAGCGCGCGUAGGCGGUCUGAUAAGCCGGUUGUGAAAGCCCCGGGCUCAACCUGGGAACGGCAUCCGGAACUGUCAGGCUAGAGUGCAGGAGAGGAAGGUAAAAUUCCCGGUGUAGCGGUGAAAUGCGUAGAGAUCGGGAGGAAUACCAGUGGCGAAGGCGGCCUUCUGGACUGACACUGACGCUGAGGUGCGAAAGCGUGGGUAGCAAACAGGAUUAGAUACCCGUGUAGUC